RNAcentral lists this ribosomal RNA (253 nucleotides) under uncultured bacterium. RNAcentral describes it as "partial 16S ribosomal RNA". It matches the Rfam family "Bacterial small subunit ribosomal RNA", at positions 524 to 776 of the family's 1533-position model. The record is from RNAcentral.
UACAGAGGGUGCAAGCGUUAAUCGGAAUUACUGGGCGUAAAGCGUGCGCAGACGGUUGCGUAAGUCAGAUGUGAAAGCCCCGGGCUCAACCUGGGAAUUGCAUUCGAGACUGCAUAGCUAGGGUGCGGAAGAGGGAAGCGGAAUUUCCGGUGUAGCGGUGAAAUGCGUAGAUAUCGGAAGGAACACCAGUGGCGAAAGCGGCUUCCUGGUCCAGCACCGACGUUCAGGCACGAAAGCGUGGGGAGCAAACAGG